CCUACGGGAGGCAGCAGUGGGGAAUAUUGGGCAAUGGACGCAAGUCUUACCCAGCAAUGCCGCGUGAAGGAAGAAGGUCUUCGGAUUGUAAAGUUCUUUACUCGGGGACGAAAAAAAUGACGGUACCCGAGGAAUAAGCCACGGCUAACUACGUGCCAGCAGCCGCGGUAAUACGUAGGGGGCAAGCGUUGUUCGGAAUGACUGGGCGUAAAGGGUGUGUAGGCGGGGUAGCAAGUUAGAAGUGAAAUACCUUGGGCUUAACUCAGGUGCUGCUUCUAAAACUGUUAUACUUGAGUGCAGGAGAGGCAGGCGGAAUUCCUAGUGUAGCGGUGGAAUGCGUAGAUAGUAGGAGGAACACCAGUGGCGAAGGCGAUUUGCUGGACAGCAACUGACGCUGAGGCACGAAAGCGUGGGGAGCAAACAGGAUUAGAUACCCCAGUAGUC
RNAcentral lists this ribosomal RNA (444 nucleotides) under uncultured bacterium. Its description in RNAcentral is "partial 16S ribosomal RNA". It matches the Rfam family "Bacterial small subunit ribosomal RNA", at positions 338 to 795 of the family's 1533-position model. The record is from RNAcentral.